RNAcentral lists this ribosomal RNA (340 nucleotides) under uncultured bacterium. RNAcentral's name for it is "bacterial SSU rRNA". It matches the Rfam family "Bacterial small subunit ribosomal RNA", at positions 463 to 802 of the family's 1533-position model. The record is from RNAcentral.
AAGAUAAUGACGGUACCCCAAGAAUAAGCCCCGGCUAACUUCGUGCCAGCAGCCGCGGUAAUACGAAGGGGGCGAGCGUUUUUCGGAAUUACUGGGCGUAAAGGGUGCGUAGGCGGGUUUUUAAGUCAGGGGUGAAAUCCCGGGGCUCAACCCGGGAACUGCCUUUGAGACUGCGGGUCUGGAGUUCGGGAGAGGGGGGUGGAAUUCCGAGUGUAGCGGUGAAAUUCGUAGAUAUUCGGAGGAACACCGGUGGCGAAGGCGGCCCCCUGGCCCGACACUGACGCUGAGGCACGAAAGCGUGGGGAGCAAACAGGAUUAGAUACCCUGGUAGUCCACGCCC